UGGAAACAUUAUAGCCGCAAGGCAAAUGUGAAGGUGCUGCAUGGUUGUCGUCAGCUCGUGCCGUGAGGUGUCGGCUUAAGUGCCAUAACGAGCGCAACCCUUAUCUUCAGUUACUAACAGGUCAUGCUGAGGACUCUGGAGAGACUGCCGUCGUAAGAUGUGAGGAAGGUGGGGAUGACGUCAAAUCAGCACGGCCCUUACGUCCGGGGCUACACACGUGUUACAAUGGGGGGUACAGAAGGCAGCUACCGGGCGACCGGAUGCCAAUCCCAAAAACCUCUCUCAGUUCGGAUCGAAGUCUGCAACCCGACUUCGUGAAGCUGGAUUCGCUAGUAAUCGCGCAUCAGCCAUGGCGCGGUGAAUACGUUCCCGGGCCUUGUACACACCGCCCGUCAAGCCAUGAAAGCCGGGGGUACCUGAAGUACGUAACCGCAAGGAGCGUCCUAGGGUAAAACUGGUAAUUGGGGCUAAGUCGUAACAAGGUAGCCGUACCGGAAGGUGC
RNAcentral lists this ribosomal RNA (502 nucleotides) under uncultured bacterium. RNAcentral's name for it is "bacterial SSU rRNA". It matches the Rfam family "Bacterial small subunit ribosomal RNA", at positions 1001 to 1515 of the family's 1533-position model. The record is from RNAcentral.